Long non-coding RNA from Serinus canaria (Common canary), 602 nucleotides. RefSeq lists it as uncharacterized. Lineage: Eukaryota; Metazoa; Chordata; Aves; Passeriformes; Fringillidae. The record is from RefSeq and is a predicted model, not a curated record. The transcript is spliced from 3 exons.
CCUCGUCCGGCCGGGAAACUUCCCCAGCCCCCGAGUCUUCUCCCCGCGCUCCGGUGCCGCCGCCGCGGGAGCCGCGCCAAGAGGGUGCUGCUGGAGCUCCUCCGGCUGCCUGCUGCCUCCAGAGAAAAAGGAUGUCAGGCUUGAACCUGUGAUCUCAUCUACUGAAUGUGUCUGCAAAGCAGGACUGAUGACCUCCCAGCUUCUCUGAGGUAUAAUUACAGAGUCACAAAAUGUCUGGGAAUGGAAGUGACCUCUGGAGAUCAUCUAAAUCAACACCCCUGCUAAAUCAGAUUAACCUAGAACAGGUUGCACAGGAUCACAUACAGCAAACGAUUCACUUGAUGAAGAAACUUUAACCCUGAAACGAAGCAGUAUGCCUGGCUGGUUGUGAUAUUAUGCUUAUACGGAUUCCUGAAAGCUAUUGCUGUCCCUAAUUAAUUCUGUGCCUAACUUACUUUACUUACAAUUUUUCACUUCAUUAAUAAAUGUACUGUACAGGAAUAUAAUUUUUAAAUUUUGUCUUAUUUAUUCCCAUUCUCUCUGGAAAAAGAUACACUUGCCCAUAGUUACACUUCACAUGAAAACUGAAGUCACCAUCUCAC